This 514-nucleotide ribosomal RNA is filed under the name uncultured Glomus. Its description in RNAcentral is "SSU rRNA". It matches the Rfam family "Eukaryotic small subunit ribosomal RNA", at positions 569 to 1080 of the family's 1831-position model. The record is from RNAcentral. Lineage: Eukaryota; Fungi; Glomeromycota; Glomeromycetes; Glomerales; Glomeraceae.
AGCAGCCGCGGUAAUUCCAGCUCCAAUAGCGUAUAUUAAAGUUGUUGCAGUUAAAAAGCUCGUAGUUGAAUUUCGGGAUCAAUAUGUCGGUCGUGCCUCGGUACGUACUGGCAUCAUUGGUUCCUCCUUUCUGAUGAACCAUGAUGCCAUUAAUUUGGUGUUAUGGGGAAUCAGGACUGUUACCUUGAAAAAAUUAGAGUGUUUAAAGCAGGCUCACGCUUGAAUACAUUAGCAUGGAAUAAUGAAAUAGGACGUUUGAUUCUAUUUUGUUGGUUUCUAGGAUCGACGUAAUGAUUAAUAGGGAUAGUUGGGGGCAUUAGUAUUCAAUUGUCAGAGGUGAAAUUCUUGGAUUUAUUGAAGACUAACUACUGCGAAAGCAUUUGCCAAGGAUGUUUUCAUUAAUCAAGAACGAAAGUUAGGGGAUCGAAGACGAUCGGAUACCGUCGUAGUCUUAACCAUAAACUAUGCCGACUAGGGAUCGGAAUGAUUGUUAAUUUUUAAAUGUACUUCAUUC